GACGGGUAGCUGGUCUGAGAGGAUGGUCAGCCACACUGGGACUGAGACACUGCCCAGACUCCUACGGGAGGCUGCAGUCGAGAAUCUUUAGCAAUGGACGAAAGUCUGACUAUGCGACGCCGCGUGCAGGAUGAAGGUUUUCGGAUCGUAAGCUGCUUUUGUCAGGAAAGAAAAUUCUCAGCUCUAACAGAGCUGAGGACUGACGGUACCUGACGAAUAAGCCACGGCCAACUCCGUGCCAGCAGCCGCGGUAAUACGGAGGUGGCGAGCGUUACUCGGAAUUAUUGGGUGUAAAGGGCAAGUAGGCGGUCUAUUAAGUGAGGGGUGAAAUCUUCCGACUCAAUCGGAAAAUUGCCUUUCAAACUAAUAGACUUGAGAUUGGAAGAGGGAAACGGAAUUAGCAGUGUAAGGGUGAAAUCUGUAGAUAUUGCUAAGAACACCGGCGGCGAAGGCGGUUUCCUGGUCCAAUUCUGACGCUAAAUUGCGAAAGCUAGGGGAGCAAACAGAAUUAGAUACUCUGGUAGUCCUAGCUGUAAACGAUGAGUACUAGGUGUCGGCCCUUCGGGGUCGGUGCCGCAGCUAACGCAUUAAGUACUCCACCUGGGGACUACGGCCGCAAGGCUAAAACUCAAAGGAAUUGACGGGGACCCGCACAAGCGGUGGAACAUGUGGUUUAAUUCGAUGCUACGCGAAGAACCUCACCAAGGCUUGACUUGCUCGUCGUAUCUUUCUGAAAGGGGAGAGUCAUUUAGUUGGACGAUGCACAGGUGCUGCAUGGCUGUCGUCAGCUCGUGUCGUGAGAUGUUGGGUUAAGUCCCGCAACGAGCGCAACCAUUGCCCCAUGUUGCUAACAUAUUUUGACCUUCGGGUUUGAAUGUGCGCACUCUUGGGGGACUGCCCGGGAUAACCGGGAGGAAGGUGGAGAUGACGUCAAGUCAGUACGGCCCUUAUGCCUUGGGCUACACACGUGUUACAAUGGACGGUACAGAGGGUUGCCAACCCGCGAGGGGGAGCUAAUCUCAAAAAGCCGUCCUCAGUUCGGAUUGGAGUCUGCAAUUCGACUCCAUGAAGUCGGAAUCGCUAGUAAUGGGAGAUCAGCUCGCUCCCGUGAAUACGUUCCCGGGUCUUGUACACACCGCCCGUCAAGCGAUGAAAGCUGGGAGUACCCGAAGUCCUAUGUAGGUAGGCCGAAGGUAAAACUAGUGAUUGGCGCUAAGUCGAAACAAGGUA
Molecule: ribosomal RNA, 1230 nt
Filed under: metagenome
Description: bacterial SSU rRNA
Rfam family: Bacterial small subunit ribosomal RNA
Source: RNAcentral